Long non-coding RNA from Equus asinus (donkey), 12232 nucleotides. The record is from Ensembl. Lineage: Eukaryota; Metazoa; Chordata; Mammalia; Perissodactyla; Equidae.
UAUCAUCCAAUGCAAAGAAGGUAUAGGUCUCAGUCCCGGGCCUUGUGUGUGCUCUAGCCAAGUGCCAGCUUAAGCGGGUGAAAUGUGUAGUCCCAUAAGUCCUCCCGAGUGCUGGGGCCCUCCUUCUCCAGCUGAGCUCGUAAUGCCACAGCAGGUUCCACGGUUACAUUCAAAAGCCUCAGCAGGGAAGGCUGGCCCAGAUCUGAGGGGAAAGCGUGGGGUGAACACAGAACAUAAACCCAGCCGAGGCAGCUGCCACUUCAGAGAGCCAAAAUAGGGUGGGCUCAGUUAACAAAACAAAUCGCACACUUCAGAAUGUGUUAGCAUUGUCAGGCAGGAUAUCCGGGAAUUUUAGUAGUUUCGUACUUAAUAGUCAUUAGGUGGCUUUGGCUGAACCUCCCCAUCUAUGAAGUUUCCCUGGCGUCAGCUGCCGUCUUUGCAUCUCCCUCUGGCAGGAUUUGGGAGUGAGCUUUGUGGAGGUGAGAGGAAAAAGGAUGGAUCCCAGGAGGCUGUCCUUCCCGGGUUCCUGGGUAGAGGGCUCAGCCUUAGUGAGGCAGAGACUGCUCAUGGAGUCCAGGUUGCCUUCCUCUCCAGCAGAGUUGAUGGAAAGAGCUUGGAUGUGUGGAAGGAAGCUGUUAUACAAGUUCAAGGUAAUGUCACUCGCCAGAGCAGGACCUUCGCUUUUUACCUGAGCUUACCUCACAGGCUCGCAUCUUCCCCUCAGCUCUCCUCCCCUCCUCCUUUCUCUCCUGGUUUGCUUUUGGUCAGAAGUGAUUCUUCACGUUUGGGAUCAGUGGGGUGCUGCCUAAGCUGGAUGUCCAUUCCUACCAUGCGUAAGUCAUGGCUCAGUGGGAACCACUUAGGGCUCGCAUUUAGUCUAGUCACUAAUAGAAGAGCCAGUCUGCCCUAUGUUUUAGAAAAAUCCAGAUUUGAGAAACACUGGUGGUAGCUCAGCUCAGUUCAGGUAGGGGAACCACAGUGCCCAGAGCUGCACACAUCGUGUCCACACUGUGAGCCUCCUGGAGGGGGACAGAACCCUACUCACCUGUGUGUGUCUUAGGGUAGGUGCUCGAAAUGUUUGCUGAGAAAAAAAACUAUAAAAGGAAGGGAAUACUCAGGCCAGAGCCUCCUCAGGGGAAACUCAGUGGGGCCAAAUAAAAGUCUUUUGUUUCACUUUAUCUUAGGAAUUGCUGAUUUGAAGGCCUCAUAGGUCGUCACUGCCUCCCCCAGCUAUAGUUACCAUUUGACAGCACCCCAGUUGGUUGGGGAGAUGCCUGGGACAGCUGGCGGCCUGAGGCGGAGACAGGAGCUGGAGAGGCAGGUCACCCUGGGAUUUGGGUGGGACAGCUCAUUGAGGAGGCUGUGAGGGGGCUGCCGCUUCCCCAUCCUCCUGCGCCCAGGCGGUGAUGGCAAGGACGAGGGCGCUGGUGUCGGGGUAGCCCAAGCUGGUGCGAGAAUUUAAGGCAGCAAGCAUACCCCCUGCUUGCUGAGCUUGAGAAACAGCCUGCAUACAGUGACAGUUCACGAACGGUUACUGCUGUGUCCCCCUGAAAACAGCAGCGCUUUCCUUCCGCCCUUUCAAUGACAGGCUGUAGCUUGCCGUCUGCGGUGAGAGGCAGAGUUUCUCACGCCAUGUUGAAAUCUUUCUGUGUUGCUCCAGGGGUGGGCUGCUAUUGAGUGGAUAAUUGAGCAUUCUGAAAGCGCUGUGAGCUAACGGGGUCCGCGCCUGCGCCUGGUGACAAACGGCGGAUUUAUUGUCAAGGGAAACUCGAACAUUUGUCAGCGCGUCUCCAAUGAAGGCGGUUCGGCUUCCGCCAGCUGUUCUCAGUGCUUGGUCCCUGAACACGUCCUCUAACCUGUGCGUCAUUCGUGAGGAGCCUUUCACUAGGAGGUCCGCACAGUGUUAAAGCUGAUCUGACGGGAGGCCUUUUUCAUUUUGGGUAGGGUUUGAAUAUUUGCACACGUUCUCAUCAAGAACACCCUGUGCCCUUGCGGCAGCGAGGCAGCGAGGGGGACCGCGGCUCACCUCCUUGCUUGCUGCCAGCCAGCCGUGCGACUGCCACUGGCCGUUUGCUUUUAGUGGCAAAAGCCAUUUCUAGCAUCGUCUUGAGCUUCACAAACAUUCCUUGGUUUCCUGGGCCACCAGUAGAAACGGAUUUGACACUUAGUUAGCAGUCACCUUCAUGCUGCGUAGGAAAGGCAGGGUAUCCUGUGUCCUGUGUUUAGGGAAUCCUUGUACUCCUGCCUUGAAAUUCCUCACCCUGUUAACUUUCCACGCUGUGCUGCUCUGGGCCCCGCUUCCCACGGUCGGUCCGUCUGUCUGCAGCAUGCGUGUAUGCACUUGGUGCCUCAGUCAGCAGUGAGAGCCGACUGGUUCAGGCUUCUUUGCUUAAGUCAUUGAAGCUUAGGUUUGCCAGAGACCUUCACCGUGAACCCAAGGUCAUGAUCUGCCACUGGGUCUCUCUUCCUCCAUGGAUGCACUGCUGAGGUGACCACAUGUAGGGAGCCCGCCUGCCUGGGGAGCACAGUGUGUGUGGGCAGUGUGGUGUGUGUGAUGGUGGCACUUGGAAUUGAGGACUCUGUCACAUUCUGUUUCCUCAUAAACCAGAGCUAAACUGCCUCAAUCUUUAAUCAGAUACAUCGCCCCCCAAAAAAAUGAAAGAGGAAAGAAAAAAAGAGAAGGAAAGAAAAAUGAAUGAAAGGAAGGAAGGAAGAAAGAAGUGAGUCCUGAAUAUGGUUCACUGGCCCAGUCUGGAAGAGGUGUGGAAUCUGCUGGAAUCUUCCGCCUGCCACUCACGGCCUCCGCCAGGCUCCUCCGUCGUGACCUCACGGCACAGGAGGCCCGGCCAUGGUGCAGGCGGAGUGCUCGUCCGUUGCAGAGAGAGACUCGGUGGUAGGGCAAGGGCUGCAACGCCCUGCCUGUCCCCCCGCCGCUGAGCCAGCAGGUGGGGAGCCGGCCCCACCCGCAGCCCAGCACCCCCACCCCGUGCCGGUGUGUCCUCGUGCUGCUCUUGUGCCUGGUCUGUUUUCCCCCAGCUGCAGCUCCCACAUCUGUCCUGCCAACUCUUGGGAUCUUACUAAACAGCUUCUCUCUUUUCAGAUCCGUUUCCGUUCCGUGCCCCUUAAUCAGCAGUCUUCACUGCCAGUCUCUUCACACAUAGCUGGCCACCAUCUGUCACCUCAGGUGCUGUCUCUGUGCAUCCUUCUCUUCCCCUCAAUCACUGUGUGCAGAUCUGCGCACUAGAGUAGGGGCGUCUGCCAGCCACAGUGACGCGUGCGGUUGGAGUACCGUGAGCUCUCCGCUCAGAGACAGUCAGCUCCGUCCAGAGCAAAGUGUUCCGCCCUCGGGCCACAGCCCCCUUGUCCUGCCCACCUGGGCCCAGUGACCCCCAGGGCUGAAGGCCCGUGUUACUUCUCACCAUUCAGCCCUGGCCACAGGAAGGCUCGCUCACCCAGAGCCGUGUUAGGAGGCAGUGCACGAGUGCUUGUGAGUUUAAGCCGUCUCUUAGCUCUGAGGUACUUCCGCUUGGGAGUUUUAACUUUCCCAUUUUCAAAAGUAAAAUGUAAAAUCUCUUUCAGUAUGUUUCAAAUUAUAAAAACUUGAGCGAAGGCCUCUUCUGUAACGGAUGGGUAGAACUGUAUUCUGUUUGUUAGCUCUUGCUUUUUCUUUGAUAAUAGUGCUUCUAAUCCAAAAUGAAAUUAAAUUCAUUUAUAUAUUUACAGAAUGUGUUAUGCACAUAGCUUAAGGUAAAAUACAGUUAAAAGGUUUAUGGCAAAAAAAAUCCCUCUUAUCCGUUCUGCAAAGCCCGCUUCCACCCUUCCCACGGGACUCACAUCUUUUGGCUAUUUCUGGCAUUUACUGCUAGAUUUCUAAAUAAAUAAGCAUAUUCUGCUAUUUCUUCAUUCAACAAUUUUUGAUGUCAUCUGCUGACUUCCUCUUGUGGUAGAUUAUUAUUUUCUCUCUCUUACUUCUUCUUCCCAUCCCCCAAUUCCCCAGUAUAGCUAUAUUGUAAUUUAUGGUUAAAAGCACAUGGAGUUUCCAUAAUUUUGAAAAUACAUAACUAUUGUUUAUUACCCAGCCAAGCAAUAUACUGUAAUUACAUUUUCUUUCUCAUAUAACUGUUUUUUUUUCCUUUGAAGGUAAUAAUUGUCUUACUCUUUUCAUCCAUUUACUUUUAUUUUUUAGGAGUCUCUGGCUGAGUCCUUCCACACUCGUCACCCAUUCUCUGCAGUAACAUCAUUGUCCAAGGUCAGACCUUUUGGGAAGCACACCCCUUUCGGGUUUCCCUGGCACCGCCCUUCCUGGAAGCCAGGACUGGCUCUCCUCUGGCUGAGCAGCUGUGUCAUCUUUCCUGGGCAUUUCCUUGGCCCUUCUCCUCUCCUGGAGCCCUUGUCUCCUAGAUUCCCUGCUUCCUCUCUCUGUCCUAUCACAAGAUGGGAAAGCACAUAUGUAGUAGCUUCUAAGACUUGGCACAUCUGAAAAUGUCUCUUCUCUUCUCCUGCUUCAUUUAUAUCUUGGCUGGAUGUAUAAUUCCAGAUAAAAAUACUUUCACUCAGAAUUUUGAAGGCAUUGCUCCAUUGUUUUCCACUCCAAUUCUUGAUCCUCUGUAUGUGACUUUUUUCUCUCUGAAAGCUUUUAGGAUCUCUUUAUCCCUGAUUUUUGUUUUUUAAAGAUUUUAUUUUUCCCUUUUCUCCCCAAAGCUCCCCCCCAGUACAUAGUUGUAUAUUUUUAGUUGUGGGUCCUUCUAGUUGUGGCAUGUGGGAUGCCGCCUCAGUAUGUCUUAAUGAAUGUUGCCAUGUCCGCGCCCAGGAUCCGAACUGGUGAAACCCUGGGCUGCUGAAGUGGAGCAUGUGAACUUAACCACUCAGCCAUGGGGCCCUAUCCCUGAUGUUUUGAAAUUUUAUAUGACUAAGCCUUGUUUGAAGUUAUCUUUUAAAAUUCACUGUGCUGCAUUAUGUGUGUUAAAUUCCUGGUUUUGAUAUUGUACUAUAAUUAUGUAAGAUGUUACUGAGGGGAUGUGGGUGAAAGGUACACAGGACAUUCCUGUGCUAUCUUUGUAGCUUCCUGUGAAUCUAUAAUAAUUUCAAAAUUAAAAGUUAAAAAAAUAUAUAAAUAGUGACAUCAUGGAAAAUGGCAGAGGUGGACAUUCCAAGAAUCAGCCCCUCCAAUGAAACAGUCGAUAAGCUAGCAAGAAAUGACAAACUCAACUUUUGUAGAACUCUGGAUUUUAAUCAGAUACUUAAACCAACUAGGGGAGUGCCUAAUGAAUCUUAAGUGACCUACCCUGCAGAUUUUGGACUUCCCAGCCUCCAUAAUCAUGUAGGCCAAUUCCUUAAAAUAAAUCUCUCUCUCUCUCUUUUUCCAAACAGACAUUCUAUUGGUUCUGUUUCUCUGGAGAACCUUGACUAAUACACUAUUGAAGCUAAAUUCGUGUCAAUUCAAACUAGAUUUUUUUAACUUAAGAUGUUAAUUAUAAUCACCAGGGUAACCAGUAAGAAAAUAACUAAAAAAUUAUACAGAAAAAGAAACAAAGGGGAAAUCAAAAUGGUAUACUAGAAAAAAAGAAAAUCAGUCAAACACAACAGAAGGCAGUGUGGAAAGAAUUCAAGAACAAAAAGUCAUAAAAUUUAUAGAAAACAAAUAGCAAAAUGUAAGAAGCUAGUGCUUCCUUAGCAAUAAUUACUUUAAAGGUAAAUAGGUAAAAUUCAUCAAUUAAAGGACAGAGAUUGGCAGAGUGGAUGAAAAAACAUGAUACUACUAUAUAUGUUGCCUAGAAAAGACUCACUUUAUUUUUAUUUUUUUUUUUUAAAGAUUUUAUUUUUUCCUUUUUCUCCCCAAAGCCCCCCCGGUACAUAGUUGUAUAUUCUUUGUUGUGGGUCCUUCUAGUUGUGGUAUGUGGGACGCUGCCUCAGCAUGGUUUGAUGAGUGGUGCCAUGUCCGCGCCCAGGAUUCGAACCAACGAAACACUGGGCCGCCUGCAGCGGAGCGCGUGAACUUAACCACUCGGCCACGGGGCCAGCCCCAGAAAAGACUCACUUUAGAUCCAAAGACACAAAUAGGUUGAAUGUGAAAGGAUGGAAAAAGAUAUUCCGUGCAAAAGAGAGCUGGGGUGGGCAUACUUAUAUCAGAAAAAAAUAGACUUUAAGUAAAAAAUUAUUAUAAGAGACAAAAAAGGACAUUAUAUAUUGACAAGAGGGUCCAUUCAUCAAGAAGAUAAAAGUUACAACCAUAUACAUACCAAACUACAGAACCUGAAAAUAUAUGAAGCAAACAUUAGCAGAACUGAAGGGAAAAAUAACAAUUCUAUAAUAAUAGUUGGAGACUUCAAGAAUUCACAUUCAAUAAUGGAUAGGACAUCUAGACAGAGAUCAGUAAGAAAAUGAGGACUUGAACAACACUGUAAACUAACUUGACCUAACAGACAUAUAGAAAACACUUCCUCCAGAAAGAGCAGAAUACACAUUUUUAUCCAGAGCACAUGGAAUAUUCUUCAGGAUAGACCAUAUGUUAGGCCAAAAAACAAGUCUCAAUAAACUUAAGAAGAUUGAAAGCAUAUAAAGUAUCAUUGGUGAUUACAGUGAAAUGAAAUUAGAAAUCAGUAGCAUAAGGAAAACUGGAAGUUUCACAAAUAUGUGGCAUUUAAAAAACAUACUUCUAAUAACCAGUGAGUCAAAGAAGAAAUUACAAGUGAAGUUAUAUUUUGAGAUGAAUGAAAGUGAAAACACAACAUAUGAAAAACUUAUGAGAUGCAAUGAGGGCAGUGCUCAGAAGGAAAUUCAUAGUUACAAAGACCUUCAUUAAAAAAAGAAGAAAGGGGGCCAGCUUGGUGGUGCAGCUAUUAAGUUCACACAUUCUGCUUCAAUGGCCUGGGGUUCGCUGGUUUGGAUCCCAGGUGCGGACAUGGCACUGCUUGGCAAGCCAUGCUGUGGCAGGCGUCCCACUUACAAAGUAGAGGAAGAUGGGUAUGGAUGUUAGCUCAGGGCCAGUCUUCCUCAGCAAAAAGAGGAGGAUUGGCCACAGAUGUUAGCUCAGGGCGAAUCUUCCUCAAAAAUUAAUUAAAUUUUUUAAAAAGAGAAAGAUCUCAGAUCGUUUACCUGAUUUAAGGACUAGAAAAAAAAAAGAACAAAGUAAACCCAUAGCUUGCAGGAGGAAAGAGAUGAUCAAGAUUAGAGAGCAGACAAUAUAGAGAAUAGAAAGGCAAUAGAAUUCUUGAAGCUAGAAGUUGUUUCACUGAAAAGAUCAUUGAAAUUGGAAAACCUUUUAGUAAGACCAAGAAAAAGGAUUCAAAAUAAAAAAAUCAGAAAUAAAAGUGGAGGCAUUACUACAGACAUUAUAGAAAUAAAAGGAUAUAAGAGAAUACUAGGAAUAAUUAUAUACCAACAAAUUAGAUAACCUAGGUGAGAUGGACAAAUUCCUAGAAACACAAAUUACCAAAACUGAUUAAAGAGGAAAUAGAAAAUCUCAACAGACCUAUAACAGGUAAAGAGAUUGAAUCAGUAAUUUAAGACCUCCCAACAAAGAAAGGUCUAAAUAUUAAAGAAGAAUUAACACCAAUCCUUUGUAAAUUCUUCCCAAAAAUAGAGGAGGGAAUACUUCCUAACUCAUUCUGUAAGACCUAUAUUACCCUGAGACCAAAGCUAGGCAAAGGCACUCCCAGAAAAUAACACUUCAGACCAAUAUCCUUUAUGAAUACUGAUGCAGAAAUCCUCAACAAAAUACUAGCAAGCUGAAUCCAACAGCAUAUUAAAAGGAUAUACACCAUGACCAAGUGGGAUUUAUCCCAGGAAUGCAAGGGUGGUUCAACAUACAAAAAUCAAUCACUGUAAUAUACCUUAGUAAUAGAACUAAGGGGAAAACCUCCACAUGAUCAUCUCAAUUGAUGCAGAAAAAGCAUUUGACAAAACUUAACACCCUUUCAUGAUGAAAACACUAUUCUAGGAAUAGAAAUAGUAAUUCUAGAAAUAUUCUAGGAAUAGGAAUAGAAGGGAACGUCCUCCACAUAGUAAAGGGCAUUUAUGAAAAACUCACAGCUAACAUCCUGCUCAGACAGACAUCUUUCACUCCAAGAUAAAGAAUAAGAGAAAGAUGCUCAUUUUCACCACUGCUCUUCAACACAGUACUGGAAGUUCUAGCCAGAGCAAUUAGAUAAGAAAAAGAAAUAUUAGGCAUCCAAACUGGAAAGGAAGAAGUAAUAGAAGUAUCUCUAUUCACAGACAACAUGAUCCGGUAUGUAGAAAAUCCCAAAGAAUCCACAAGAAAGCUACUAAAGGAAUUCAGCAAAAUUGCAGUGUACAAGAUCAAUACAAAAAAAAUCAAUGUAUUUCUUUACAAUAGCCAUGAGCAAAUUAAAAAUAAAAUUAAGAAACCUACCCAAUUUACAACUGCAUCCAAAAGAAUAAAAUACAUAGAAAUAAGUUAAAGCAAGAAGGUGAAGGACUUGUACACUAAAGAUUGCAAAACAUUGAAAGAAAUUAAAGAAGACAAAUAAAUGGAAAGACAUCCAUUGUUCAUGGAUUGAAAGACUUAAUAUUGUUAAGAUGACAAUACUAUCCAAAAUGUUCUAUGGAUCAAUCUAAUCCCUAUCAAAAUGGCUACAGCUUUUUUUUCAGAAAUGGAAAGCCAAUCCUCACAUUCAUAUGGAAUUGUAAGGGACCCUGAAUAACCAAAACAGUAUUGAAAUAGAACAACAAAGUUGGAGGGCUCACAUUUCCCAAUUUCUUGCAAAGCUAUAGUAAUCAAAACAAUUUGGGACAGGCAUAAAGAUAGAUAUAUAGACCAAUGGAAUAGAAUUGAGAGUCCAGAAAUAAACCUGUGUAUCUAUGGUCAAUUGAUAUUCAACAAGGGUGCCAAAAGAAUUUAAUGGGAGAAAGAAUAGUGUCUUCAACAAAUGGUGCUGGGACAACUGAAUAUCUACAUAUAAGAGAAUGAAGUUCGACUAUUAACUUACAUACAAAAACUAACUCAAAAUGGAUCAAAGACCUAAAUAUAAGAGCAAAACCCAUAAAAUUCUUAGAAGAAAACAUAGGGGUAAAUAUUCAUGACCUUGGAUUUGGCAACGGGUUCUUAGAUAUGACAACAAAAGCAUGAGCAACAGAAGACAAAAUAGAUAAAUUCGACUUCAUCAAAAUAAAAGCUUUUUUGCAUCAAAGGACACUAUCAAGAGAGUGAAAAGACAACCUAGAGAAUGGGAGAAAAAUUGCAAAUUGUAUAUCUGAUAAGGGUCUCUUAGCCAGAAUAUAUAUAGAACUCUUACAACUCAACAAUAAAAAGAGAACCCAAUUUAAAAAUGGGCAAAGGAUCUGAAUAGACAUUUCUCCAAAGAAGAUAUGGAAAAUAACAAGCACUGGAAAAGAUGUGGAGAAAUUGAAACCUUUGUUCGUGCUGGUGGUAAUGUAAAAUGGUAUAGUCACUCCACUCCUAGUUAUAUACCCCAAAGUAUUGAAAACAAGUACUCAAAUACUUGUACACGAAUGUUCAUAGCAGCACUAUUUACAGUAGCCAAAAGGUGGAAAUAACUCAAAUGUCCUUCAACUGAAUGGAGAAACAAAUGUGGUAUAUCCAUACACUGGGAUAUUAUUCAGCCAUAAAAAGGAAUGAAAUACUGAUACAUACUACAACGUGGAUGAAUCUCUAAAACAUUAUGCUAAGUUUGAAUAAUGAAAGAAGCCAGACACCAAAGGCCACAUACUGUAUGAUUCCGUUUAUAUGUAAUAUCUAUAAUGGGUAAAUCCAUACAAAUGGAAAGCAGCUUGGUUGUUGCCAAGGGCUGGGGGGAGGGGCAAAUGGGGGAAAUCUACUGAAUGGGUAUGGGAUUUCCUUUGGGGGUGAUGAAAAUGUUUUGGAACUAGAUAGAGGUGGUGUUUGCACAACAGUGUGAAUGUACUGAAUACCACUGAAUUGUAUACUUUAGAAUGGUUAACUUAUGUGAAUUUCACCUCAGUAAAAAAGAAAAAAAUAUGAAUAAAUACAUGCGUGUAUACAUACAUAAAGCUGAGGUCAGGCAGCAAGGCAUCGAAAAAAAUCGCUUUGGGAACGUGGUGGUGCCUUUGGUUCCGGUAGUGAUUUCUUUGAUAAUUUCCCCAUCAUUCUCUCUUCUCUUUUUCUGGAAGUCCUCUUAGUCAUAUGUUGAGCUUCCUGGAUUGAUCUUGUAAUUUUCUUAUAUUUUCUCUCCUCUUUGUUCUCCCUUAUGGGAGAUUUCCUGGACUUUAUCUUCCACCCCUUUCACUAAUUUUUAUUUUGGCAAACUGUAUUUUUAAUUUCUGUCUUUCCUGUUCAUUAUCACAUCUCGUUCUUGCUUCACAGAUGUAGUGUCGUAGCUCCUCUCUCUGCAGAAAUAAGUGCGAAGUGAAGCUUUCUUGUGUGUCAGCGUCUCCUCCACGUCCCUUCCCAUCGCAGGCUUUCCUCAGAUGUCUCUUCAUACUGACAUGCCCCAAACCCCGCGAGAGCUCCGGGUGGAGCGCGAGGCUUGCUGGGGCUGGGCUUCACUGUCGGGUGUGCUGUGACUUCUUCCUUGAACCCCAAAGACCUUGUCUCUAGAUUGGUUCAGUUUCUCCCAAUAAGACUCAGCCUUUUGGAGGAGGCGGGGGUGUGUCUGUGUUUACCUAGGGGUCUAAGAGCCCAGGCUGUGAAAUUACCCCUUCCAGCCUGUCCCCUGCCCUCCCCUGCGUGCCCUUUCUCUGGACAGUCCCCAGGCUAUGACGGCUCCUGUCCCUCCUGUCCGACCGCCCUCCGCUGCAUCACUGCUCCUCCCUCUGCUUUCCACCUUCACGUGUGGGCUGCGAGGCUGCUGCCUCCGUGUAGUUUCUGAAGUUUGUGUUUCUGUUUUUUUUCCUUAUAGUUUUGUGGACAUUUCAGAGAUAAGGGCAAAAGGUCUUCUUCCCCACCAUGUCGAAAUCAAAGUUCUGUUCACUUUUAUAAACAAUAUUAAUUGAAAAAAAUACAUAAAAGCAAUCCAUGUUUAUGGUUAAAAAAAAAAGAUACAGGAGUCUCUGGGGAAGAGUGAAGUCCUCCCCAGGAGGAAGACUGACUGGCCUCUGCCAGUUGACUCCCGACUUUUAAGGCUUCCAGAAAUGUUUGCUGCACAUGCAAGUAUGUGUGUUUUUUUUCUUUUCUUUCUUUUAUUAAACACAGAUGGGAUCAUACUGUGUACAUUGUUUUGUGUCUUUUUCUACAUUAUCUUGCAAAGUCCCCUCUUUCGGAUUAGCUGUAUGAUAGCACUGCAGUCUUAAUUCCUGAAGGACUCGAGGGCUCCUUGCAGGGUCGCGAGGCCUUGGAGUGGGUGAUCUGCCGACUUAACAUGGAAUUGGAAGGCCUGGGGGCCCCGGCCUGCGCCAGAGCGUGAAGCCGCGGCGUGCUCCCUGCGCCCAGGACACGGAGACAGAGGCCGAGCAGCAAGUUGAUGGGCGUUCAGCAUCCACCCUGGACACUCGCUGGACGUGUGGUUUGCCGGAAGGGGCAUUCGGGAUCAGGGUUGUAAAUAAAAUCCCCCCCUGCAGCUGAGGAUUCGACAGAGACUGAAUGAGGCCCAUAAAACCUGAAAUAUUUACUAUCUGGUCCUGCAAAGAAGAAGUUUCUGUGAAGCCAACCUGUUCCCUAGAGAUUCCACUGCAUCUCUCAAUCAACAUAAAUCAAAGUAAAUUUGGUCCCUUCCACCAAACUGCUCCUCUUUCCGCCAUUUCUAAUUAGUGCUACUUCUAUUUCCCAAAUACAAAACCCAAGUUCUUUAAGACUUCCUCCUGCUCUUUCUCUCCAUAGCCAUUUGGAAACCGAAUACUCCUUUAAAAGGUCUCAGAUCAAUUCUGUCUUCUCACAUUCACUGUCCCAGUCUUGUUUUAGGUGCUUAUCACCUGGGGUAGCCAGCUUCCAAGACAGCCCCCGAGGAGGCUGCCCCAUGUCGUGACCAUCCCUGCGUGUAGUAUUCUCCACCCUGAGCAGGCUGACCUGUAGGGUCAGUGGAAUACUGCGGAAUAUUCCACGAUGGUGUGUGACUUCCCAGGUCAAGUCAUAAAAGACAUUGCGGCUUGCACCUUGCUCGCUCCUGCAUCACUUGCUCUGGGGCAAGCCAGCUGCCGUGUAGUGAGGACACUAGAGGAGCCCGACAGAGAGGUCCACACAGCAAAGCUGAGUGAGGGAGCCAUUUGGGAGCAGAUCCUCUAGCCCCAGUGAAGCCUUCAGCUAACGGCAACUUCAGCUAACAUCUUGACUGCAACCUCGUGAGAGACCCCAGGCCAG